RNAcentral lists this ribosomal RNA (263 nucleotides) under Pseudomonas koreensis. RNAcentral's name for it is "partial 16S ribosomal RNA". It matches the Rfam family "Bacterial small subunit ribosomal RNA", at positions 38 to 307 of the family's 1533-position model. The record is from RNAcentral. Lineage: Bacteria; Pseudomonadati; Pseudomonadota; Gammaproteobacteria; Pseudomonadales; Pseudomonadaceae.
GGCGGCGGCUACACAUGCAGUCGAGCGGAUGAGAGGAGCUUGCUCCUGGAUUCAGCGGCGGACGGGUGAGUAAUGCCUAGGAAUCUGCCUGGUAGUGGGGGACAACGUUUCGAAAGGAACGCUAAUACCGCAUACGUCCUACGGGAGAAAGCAGGGGACCUUCGGGCCUUGCGCUAUCAGAUGAGCCUAGGUCGGAUUAGCUAGUUGGUGAGGUAAUGGCUCACCAAGGCGACGAUCCGUAACUGGUCUGAGAGGAUGAUCAG